GACGAACGCUGGCGGCGUGCUUAACACAUGCAAGUCGAACGGAAAGGCCCUGCUUUUGUGGGGUGCUCGAGUGGCGAACGGGUGAGUAACACGUGAGUAACCUGCCCUUGACUUUGGGAUAACUUCAGGAAACUGGGGCUAAUACCGGAUAGGAGCUCCUGCCGCAUGGUGGGGGUUGGAAAGUUUCGGCGGUUGGGGAUGGACUCGCGGCUUAUCAGCUUGUUGGUGGGGUAGUGGCUUACCAAGGCUUUGACGGGUAGCCGGCCUGAGAGGGUGACCGGCCACAUUGGGACUGAGAUACGGCCCAGACUCCUACGGGAGGCAGCAGUGGGGAAUAUUGCACAAUGGGCGAAAGCCUGAUGCAGCAACGCCGCGUGCGGGAUGACGGCCUUCGGGUUGUAAACCGCUUUCGCCUGUGACGAAGCGUGAGUGACGGUAAUUGGUAAAGAAGCACCGGCUAACUACGUG
This 468-nucleotide ribosomal RNA is filed under the name uncultured bacterium. Its description in RNAcentral is "partial 16S ribosomal RNA". It matches the Rfam family "Bacterial small subunit ribosomal RNA", at positions 28 to 507 of the family's 1533-position model. The record is from RNAcentral.